UCUCUAGAGGAGGAUGGUCUGCA
RNAcentral lists this non-coding RNA (23 nucleotides) under Arabidopsis thaliana (thale cress). Lineage: Eukaryota; Viridiplantae; Streptophyta; Magnoliopsida; Brassicales; Brassicaceae. The record is from RNAcentral.